This 2903-nucleotide ribosomal RNA is filed under the name Escherichia coli. Its description in RNAcentral is "23S ribosomal RNA". It matches the Rfam family "Bacterial large subunit ribosomal RNA". The record is from RNAcentral. Lineage: Bacteria; Pseudomonadati; Pseudomonadota; Gammaproteobacteria; Enterobacterales; Enterobacteriaceae.
GGUUAAGCGACUAAGCGUACACGGUGGAUGCCCUGGCAGUCAGAGGCGAUGAAGGACGUGCUAAUCUGCGAUAAGCGUCGGUAAGGUGAUAUGAACCGUUAUAACCGGCGAUUUCCGAAUGGGGAAACCCAGUGUGUUUCGACACACUAUCAUUAACUGAAUCCAUAGGUUAAUGAGGCGAACCGGGGGAACUGAAACAUCUAAGUACCCCGAGGAAAAGAAAUCAACCGAGAUUCCCCCAGUAGCGGCGAGCGAACGGGGAGCAGCCCAGAGUCUGAAUCAGUGUGUGUGUUAGUGGAAGCGUCUGGAAAGGCGCGCGAUACAGGGUGACAGCCCCGUACACAAAAAUGCACAUGCUGUGAGCUCGAUGAGUAGGGCGGGACACGUGGUAUCCUGUCUGAAUAUGGGGGGACCAUCCUCCAAGGCUAAAUACUCCUGACUGACCGAUAGUGAACCAGUACCGUGAGGGAAAGGCGAAAAGAACCCCGGCGAGGGGAGUGAAAAAGAACCUGAAACCGUGUACGUACAAGCAGUGGGAGCACGCUUAGGCGUGUGACUGCGUACCUUUUGUAUAAUGGGUCAGCGACUUAUAUUCUGUAGCAAGGUUAACCGAAUAGGGGAGCCGAAGGGAAACCGAGUCUUAACUGGGCGUUAAGUUGCAGGGUAUAGACCCGAAACCCGGUGAUCUAGCCAUGGGCAGGUUGAAGGUUGGGUAACACUAACUGGAGGACCGAACCGACUAAUGUUGAAAAAUUAGCGGAUGACUUGUGGCUGGGGGUGAAAGGCCAAUCAAACCGGGAGAUAGCUGGUUCUCCCCGAAAGCUAUUUAGGUAGCGCCUCGUGAAUUCAUCUCCGGGGGUAGAGCACUGUUUCGGCAAGGGGGUCAUCCCGACUUACCAACCCGAUGCAAACUGCGAAUACCGGAGAAUGUUAUCACGGGAGACACACGGCGGGUGCUAACGUCCGUCGUGAAGAGGGAAACAACCCAGACCGCCAGCUAAGGUCCCAAAGUCAUGGUUAAGUGGGAAACGAUGUGGGAAGGCCCAGACAGCCAGGAUGUUGGCUUAGAAGCAGCCAUCAUUUAAAGAAAGCGUAAUAGCUCACUGGUCGAGUCGGCCUGCGCGGAAGAUGUAACGGGGCUAAACCAUGCACCGAAGCUGCGGCAGCGACACUGUGUGUUGUUGGGUAGGGGAGCGUUCUGUAAGCCUGUGAAGGUGUACUGUGAGGUAUGCUGGAGGUAUCAGAAGUGCGAAUGCUGACAUAAGUAACGAUAAAGCGGGUGAAAAGCCCGCUCGCCGGAAGACCAAGGGUUCCUGUCCAACGUUAAUCGGGGCAGGGUGAGUCGACCCCUAAGGCGAGGCCGAAAGGCGUAGUCGAUGGGAAACAGGUUAAUAUUCCUGUACUUGGUGUUACUGCGAAGGGGGGACGGAGAAGGCUAUGUUGGCCGGGCGACGGUUGUCCCGGUUUAAGCGUGUAGGCUGGUUUUCCAGGCAAAUCCGGAAAAUCAAGGCUGAGGCGUGAUGACGAGGCACUACGGUGCUGAAGCAACAAAUGCCCUGCUUCCAGGAAAAGCCUCUAAGCAUCAGGUAACAUCAAAUCGUACCCCAAACCGACACAGGUGGUCAGGUAGAGAAUACCAAGGCGCUUGAGAGAACUCGGGUGAAGGAACUAGGCAAAAUGGUGCCGUAACUUCGGGAGAAGGCACGCUGAUAUGUAGGUGAAGCGACUUGCUCGUGGAGCUGAAAUCAGUCGAAGAUACCAGCUGGCUGCAACUGUUUAUUAAAAACACAGCACUGUGCAAACACGAAAGUGGACGUAUACGGUGUGACGCCUGCCCGGUGCCGGAAGGUUAAUUGAUGGGGUUAGCGCAAGCGAAGCUCUUGAUCGAAGCCCCGGUAAACGGCGGCCGUAACUAUAACGGUCCUAAGGUAGCGAAAUUCCUUGUCGGGUAAGUUCCGACCUGCACGAAUGGCGUAAUGAUGGCCAGGCUGUCUCCACCCGAGACUCAGUGAAAUUGAACUCGCUGUGAAGAUGCAGUGUACCCGCGGCAAGACGGAAAGACCCCGUGAACCUUUACUAUAGCUUGACACUGAACAUUGAGCCUUGAUGUGUAGGAUAGGUGGGAGGCUUUGAAGUGUGGACGCCAGUCUGCAUGGAGCCGACCUUGAAAUACCACCCUUUAAUGUUUGAUGUUCUAACGUUGACCCGUGAUCCGGGUUGCGGACAGUGUCUGGUGGGUAGUUUGACUGGGGCGGUCUCCUCCUAAAGAGUAACGGAGGAGCACGAAGGUUGGCUAAUCCUGGUCGGACAUCAGGAGGUUAGUGCAAUGGCAUAAGCCAGCUUGACUGCGAGCGUGACGGCGCGAGCAGGUGCGAAAGCAGGUCAUAGUGAUCCGGUGGUUCUGAAUGGAAGGGCCAUCGCUCAACGGAUAAAAGGUACUCCGGGGAUAACAGGCUGAUACCGCCCAAGAGUUCAUAUCGACGGCGGUGUUUGGCACCUCGAUGUCGGCUCAUCACAUCCUGGGGCUGAAGUAGGUCCCAAGGGUAUGGCUGUUCGCCAUUUAAAGUGGUACGCGAGCUGGGUUUAGAACGUCGUGAGACAGUUCGGUCCCUAUCUGCCGUGGGCGCUGGAGAACUGAGGGGGGCUGCUCCUAGUACGAGAGGACCGGAGUGGACGCAUCACUGGUGUUCGGGUUGUCAUGCCAAUGGCACUGCCCGGUAGCUAAAUGCGGAAGAGAUAAGUGCUGAAAGCAUCUAAGCACGAAACUUGCCCCGAGAUGAGUUCUCCCUGACUCCUUGAGAGUCCUGAAGGAACGUUGAAGACGACGACGUUGAUAGGCCGGGUGUGUAAGCGCAGCGAUGCGUUGAGCUAACCGGUACUAAUGAACCGUGAGGCUUAACCUU